UGCCUCUGUGCUCCUCGGGGACUGAGGAAUACGGGAGAGCCCUUGGACAUUCAGUGAGCAGUUAAUACCUCUGCUGCAAUCACUGCAGUCAGAUUGCUUCAGCCCAUGGAGUUACCUCCUUCAUGUUGGAGAAGAGCCACCUUCUUCUUGGGAUCAUGCUGACGUCUGACAAUCUUGGGAAUUGUUGGGGAAAGGAGAAGGAUGAAGCAAACUGACUUCAUCUUGCAGGGUAACUCCCUCAGGUGAAAGAGCAUCUUCAUUCAAGGGAAGAACAGUCUCAUCAGGCAAGUCUAACCCAGAUAAUGCCACAAUAUGCAACUCAGAAACCUGUCAGGACUGUGAAUACUACUGAUAUUGUAAUUCAUCAACACACUGGAUCAAGUCAAAGUCUGAAUUUAUCUUCAACCAUCUCAGAUCUGCUGAGGCAAAUGACUUUUUUACACCAUUAAGCUAUUUAUUAUAAGAAGCAGUCAACUCAUCAGCUGCCAUUGAACUCCUCAUGCCCUUCAUACUAUUGUCCUUUGAAUUGGAUGUUCAUUGGACAUUCCAGAUGAUCUGCCUAUUCCUUGAUGGCAAUACACUGGGUAACAAGCAUGACCUGGGAAUGAACUCCUUGGUUUUCCAGAAGAAAUGAUUCUGAACUCCAGUUGAAGAAUUCAGGAGGAAGAAAUCAGUGAUGGCCACAGAGUUGUUUCCAUUGAUCAAUCUUAAGAAAAGAAGGCUGUGUUUAACCAGUAGCUGAAGGUAAGGGCUGAGCACUUGCUUAGCACAUGUAACCUAAUAAAACAAUCAAGAGCCGGUCAAGAUGACUUCCUGAGUAGGGUCUGGUGAGAGGUAUCAACUAUAAAGAUGACUGCACAUUUCACUAAGAACUAGAAAUGGGCAGAGAAGGCAUUCAUGAAACAUGACUUUUGAGUACAUGUAAGAAUAUGUGUCCUGGACUUGAGGGGAGAAUAUUGUCUUGGAAAUUAUUACUGAGACAGUGCUUCUAGACUAAGCCCUGAUCAACAGGAAGCAAUGCCAAUGAUCUCACAAGGCCCUCAUCACUCAAGCCCGGAAGUGUCUAGUAGUCCCAGGGAGCUUCAGGGAUGGUGGUUGAGACACUGGUGAACUUUGAACAUCUGUGAUUUCUCUGUUUGCUUAAUGCCUGAUAGCCUUUGGUCUGCUAAUAAAUCUCCUUUAUGCACAGCUUGACCUCUGCACUUCCAAGGGGAGGAAUUGGAAUCAACCUAUGAGGAAAGAGAGGCUCUAGGAUUCUGGGUGGGAGCUUGAGCAAAUAAAAGGGUACCCUUGGAAAAGAACUUGCCCUUUGCAUCUCAUUUACCUUUGACAUGAGGUUGGAACAUUAACCAUAAUUUUUACCCUUUUCCUGUCUCAUAAAUUGUGCUGUGCAUUUCUUAAUCUUGUCUGCUAUGUUGAAAUUUACUAGAUCAGAAAAUAAAAAGCAUUAGGCAUGAAAAUUUGAGAUUCUUGUCCCUUUCUAAGCUCUGGAAAAUUCUGAGCUCAGAUUAAAACCAAGAACUGCAAGAUUAAGUGAUCAACAGAAGGAUGACUUCAGUGGCAAUGUGCUCUAAAUGGCAGGAGAGAAUAAAGAUUAUACUUAAAUUUGAUGAACUCUGUUCAGAAUUUUGGACUUCA
Sciurus carolinensis (gray squirrel) is the source of this 1638-nucleotide long non-coding RNA. RefSeq lists it as uncharacterized. The record is from RefSeq and is a predicted model, not a curated record. The transcript has 5 exons. Lineage: Eukaryota; Metazoa; Chordata; Mammalia; Rodentia; Sciuridae.